This 365-nucleotide ribosomal RNA is filed under the name Megalodontes cephalotes. RNAcentral describes it as "partial 12S ribosomal RNA". Lineage: Eukaryota; Metazoa; Arthropoda; Insecta; Hymenoptera; Megalodontesidae. The record is from RNAcentral.
UAAAAAAUAUAAAAAUUUAAUACUAAGUUAUUAAUAGAUAAGGUCUUUAAAGUUAAUAAUUUUGGCGGUAUUAUAGUCAUUUUAGAGGAACCUGUGUUAUAAUUGAUGGUCCACAAUUUAUUCUACUUAAUUUAGUUAAUCAGUUUAUAUACCGCCGUUUUCAGGAAAUUUUAAAUGAAAAAUUAAUUUUUAUAAUUUUUUUAUAAAGAAAAUAAUUCAGGUCAAGGUGUAGUUUAUAGUUAAGUAAAUAUGGGUUACAAUAAAAUUAUUUAAAUUUAUGGAUUAAUAAUUGAAAAUUAUUAUGAAAAUGGAUUUAAAAGUAAAUUAAAUAAAUUAAUUUAAUUGAUUUAUGCUCUAUAAUAUGU